Long non-coding RNA from Phasianus colchicus (ring-necked pheasant), 1667 nucleotides. RefSeq lists it as uncharacterized. The record is from RefSeq and is a predicted model, not a curated record. Lineage: Eukaryota; Metazoa; Chordata; Aves; Galliformes; Phasianidae.
GUGGGAUUUCCCUGGGUAGAGGUUGUGCUCUUCUUGUGCUGGUUGUUGGCAGAGCUAAAUCAUUAAACAUCAUGCAGAACUCAUCCAUCCCAUUGCAUCAAUCCAUUUCCUAUUGGCAAAGGUGAAAUUGCAAUCCACCAGCCAGGGAUGCCAAUGUCUUGUAGGCGACAGAGGGGCUCCCAGGUGAAUUUCCAAAGAUGGAAACAAGUUGUGGGGUAAAAAUAUAUGCCAAAGACUACAAUUGCUGCAAUGGUUCACAGGUGUAGUUUCAGAGCUGAGACGUUCUGCCUUGCGUUUUGCUAUGGGAUGGGUUCAUCUUGGAGACAGAUAUGAAAAGUUCAGGUAACCAGCUCAUCACAGUCCCAUUGUGGUCAGCAGUGAUGUGCAUAGAGGAACCCCAGUGUACCUUUCCAGCUUCCCUCAAAUGGAGUUAGGAAAAAACUCCCAGUAGCAUUUUGGAGUGAAAUGGAGAAGCAGCAGCCUUUGGGCAUCAAUUGGAAAAGAGUGAGGAUGAAAGAUGCAUGACCCAGAGGAGGAGAAGGAUAAAAUGUGUUCCUUCAGAUACAAAACUGAUUGAAAACCUACUGCUGUGAAUAAAACAGGGCUGUUCUUCUCAUACAACGGACAGCUUUUGUUGCUUGGAGCCUGAGCUUGUGUUUCACUGCAGCAAAAGUAGUUGGAAGCACCAGGAUGGUGUCAAACGUGGGACAGCUUGGCUCAGUAACCAUAUGGGCUUUUGGAGAUGUGCAUGGCAGAUGUCCCUUGGAGAGCACUCCUGGACAUGAGGGCAGAAACGGUCAGUUAAAAUAUGCAUGUUGGAGAAAUAUCCUUCACCUUACCUCUCACAAGAGCACCAGAAUGAAUUCAGCCCCCAUCUGCACACUCCUGUCCAUGCAGAGAGAGGUGGAGCUGGGGUCUGCUGCUUUCAAGACACUCGAAAUCCCUGUAUCUCUGCAAGGACAGCGAGAAUCGAUCCGACUCUAAAUCCCAUUUCUUAUUUAAUAUUUAAGAUAAACAGAAUUUAAAGGGAAUGUAGAAAUUGCUAACUCAUACCCAGGGAAAAACCAUUUUUAAGAGAGUGAAACACCAGCUGAGAACUGCCAUCCUAUCUACAUCUUUCUUUCCUUUCAGCCAAGCCGAAUUUUUUUGCUGGCAUUAGUAUUGAUUUACAUGAGCAGAGGGCAGAUGGUUUUUUUUCCUGCCCUUCAAAAAAGGGUCUGCUGCAAUGUAGCAGGGAACAAGGCCAUCUCAUGCUUCGCUUUGGAAGUUGCCCUGUGUGGCCCUGGAUGAUGAUAAAAGAUGGGGACCUUCUGCAGAACUGCUGAUGCACAGGUCCCAAAAACAUAUUAAUUAUAAUUCUGGGUGGUAGGAAAUUGUACGUGACACAAGUUCAGCCUGCACAUAAUUGCAUCUGCUUGCAUCUUACACUCAGGAGAAAGGAAUAAGAAAGGAAUAAGCAGGCUGUUUCUGAGAUUUUCAAAAAUGAGCUGCCUGAUACCUCUGGAAGCAGGAUAAAGUUAUGUCUUUUUUCAUUGUUGGCAUUAUCAUAAAUAAUGUUCUGAGCCUGAAUCCAUUACUGAGUUGGAGAGGGACUCGUAGACCUUCGAAGGCAAUUAGGAUCAGCUGCAAAGGACAAUGUGUUCUUUUUUUAACAUGUACCUGUACAG